RNAcentral lists this small RNA (127 nucleotides) under Marmota monax (woodchuck). Lineage: Eukaryota; Metazoa; Chordata; Mammalia; Rodentia; Sciuridae. The record is from RNAcentral.
GCCCGGCGUGGUGGCGCACACCUGUAAUCCCCGUAGCUGGGGAGGCUGAGGCAGGAGAAUCACAAGUUCAAGGGCAGCUGCAUUAAAUUAGUAAGGUCCUAAGCAGCUUAGUAAGACCUUGUCUCUA